Molecule: long non-coding RNA, 659 nt
Organism: Oreochromis niloticus (Nile tilapia)
Lineage: Eukaryota; Metazoa; Chordata; Actinopteri; Cichliformes; Cichlidae
Exons: 3
Source: RefSeq, a predicted model, not a curated record
UUAACCACCACGCCGGUGGCUCCACCUGAACGCACCGCGAACACCUGGAGACAGAAAACAGAGCAAAGACGUAGGACAGGUGCACACAGGCUCUAUAUAAAACGAGGGUUGCUUCCAGGAGCGGCGUUGGUGUGGAAGUCGAGCUACUGCCUCUUGCAGGUCACUGGACAGUCAACAAUACUGUUGCUCCCUUUAAGAGUGACCACAGCAAAUCAUCAGCCUCAGUGUCACUAUUCCCCUAGAAUCAACCCUCUGUGCAUCCUCUUUCGCUACAUCAGUGAACCUCCUCUGUGGUCUUCCUGUUUUCCUCCUCCCUGGCAGCUCCAUCUUCAUCAUCUGAUGUCCAUCAUGUCCACAGUCACAGGGCUACAACCCAGUGUGCUCCUGGUGCCGAUCCUGAGAUUGGAUCAAUCAGGAGUAUUGCAUCAGGUGUAAGGUUUUGGGCAAAUCAAACAAGUGGAUCAUAAAGAAGGAAAUUACUUUCCCCCAGCUCACACCGGGACGCUCAGCAGUCGGGUGUGAGAGACGAGAUCAGAAAUAAAUGUCUGAGGCCGUUUUUCACAAAGUUAAAGUUGUUCAGUGUCUUCUGCAGGAGUGAGGGGAGAGCGGAGCAGCAUCUGUGAUGCAGAUGUUGAUUUACCAACCUGACCUCACCUCUG